GACUGAACCGGUGUCUGUUGCAAUAGACUCGGAUGAGAUUACAAUAGGGGUGAAAGGCCAAUCAAGGUUAGUAUGGAAUGUCCAUGGAAGUGGAUGUUUUGAUAGCUGGUUUUCUGCGAAAUCUAUAUAGGUAAAGCGGAG
Molecule: ribosomal RNA, 141 nt
Filed under: Chlorosarcinopsis eremi
Lineage: Eukaryota; Viridiplantae; Chlorophyta; Chlorophyceae; Chlorosarcinales; Chlorosarcinaceae
Description: large subunit ribosomal RNA
Source: RNAcentral